This 52-nucleotide microRNA precursor is filed under the name Homo sapiens (human). Its description in RNAcentral is "microRNA hsa-mir-4507 precursor". The record is from miRBase by way of RNAcentral. Lineage: Eukaryota; Metazoa; Chordata; Mammalia; Primates; Hominidae.
UCUGGGCUGAGCCGAGCUGGGUUAAGCCGAGCUGGGUUGGGCUGGGCUGGGU